GAGACAGUUUCUCACUACACUAGAAGAAAAAAGAGACCUAGAGGUGGGAUUUCCCUCCAAUUGGCUUUGAUACACACCGCGGCCGCACUUAGGUUGUAGCGCCCGAGUGGGUGGAGCUUUUCCGUUAUUGGCUCCUCCUGUUCAGGUCUUGGCCCUACUGAUGGGAGGAAGAGGGUAGCGCUCCGUCACCUGCCGCGCACAGCCUCUAAGAUUGUAGACCUUUCACCGCAUUGGCCAGGAGGCGUUGGCGCUCGUUGGCUCCAGGAACCAAAGCUAACUCCGGGAGUCCAAAGCCUUAGGAGGAGUAUCGGGAAAGAAGAGGCGGGUGGAGGACACCGGGCAGAUAGGGCUGAAGACUAAGGACUCCUGUUGGUAUUGGGUUGCUGACAGUGACCUUUUGUUGACACUCCUGGGAUAGCAGCAGUUCCUAGAUCUGCUCAGGAUAAGGGCAAGAGAUAAAAGGAGCUGGAACCUCAGAAAAAGAAGAAAACCAGCCAGGAGGGGUGGCUGCUGUCAUCUGAAAACUGCAGUGCUCUGCAGGUUCUGACCACUGUCUCCUGUACUUCGAUCCCUGCC
Pteropus alecto (black flying fox) is the source of this 576-nucleotide long non-coding RNA. RefSeq lists it as uncharacterized. Lineage: Eukaryota; Metazoa; Chordata; Mammalia; Chiroptera; Pteropodidae. The record is from RefSeq and is a predicted model, not a curated record. The transcript has 3 exons.